AGUGAGAAGAAAUGAUGGCAUGUUUGUACCAUCUCAUGGCUGUUAAUCCUUGAGUAAUCCUUUGUGUGUAUCCCUCAGAAAGCAAUGACUUUUCACUCCGAUUCAAUGCUGUCAUCCUGACUUACCUGCUGUUUAAGAAGUCAAUAAAGGAGCAAGCACGCUCACUUCCUGGCUCUUGAAAAGGAGUUUGGCUGGCUGUUUAUCUAUGUCAACACUUUAGAAGUAAAACACAUAGAGAGAACAGUACAAAGAAGGCAGAAGACAAAACGGGUGGAGGGUGACCACCUCCGACAGAGGCUGAGGAGCUGGCCCUGAGUAUAAAUUCUGCCUUGAUAUCUAUCGGAUUGCGAAGAAAUAGACAACCCAUGUCUGGCAGCUUGCUUCAGGUUGGAGGAGACCGAUAGAAACUCAGGGUUUCUUAAAGAAAACUUGCCAGCGAACAGGUUAUGUUCACAGAGUCGGUUACCAUGGUGACUGACUCAGAGUUCAGUUACCUCUUUCUGGAACGGAUAACAGUUUCCCUCAUCUCAGGGUUAAUUUAUGGGGCUUUUCCACUAUACAGUUCUAGCACUACUCGACUCAGUUUUUUUUUAGUUUCCAUUAGGGAUAGUACCUGGUACCUGGUACUUUUUUAGUACCUGCUCUGCCGAGGAUUCAAGUGAGCCGAGCCGAUACUAAAUGUGACGUCAACAGACUGCCGGCCACUGAGUGUCGUCACUGGAAGAGUCUUGAGCCACCAGACACAAGAAUCAAACCCGCCAUUUUUAAAUACUGGCAACAGCGUUACAGUGAUUUGGCUCGAUUUUCUUGCUUUGGUGGUGACAAAAAACCACAUACACAUACAAGUACACCAUGUCCUCCAUUGUUUGUGUUUGUGUCGCAUAUAAAACAAAGUCACGGCAGUUUCACGCAGCCGUGCUAUGACGACCCCGCCCACGUUGAGUAGGUACUAUAGUAAUGGAAAAGGUCGUUUCAGGUACCAAGUUGAGUUGAGCCGGGUAGUGCUAGAACUGUAUAAUGGAAAAGCGCCGUUACUCAGUUUUCCACAUAACCCGCUUUCUGGAAUACCCCCCAGUUCCAAUAUUGAGCUGCUGCAGCUAGCUAAAACCGUUAAAGUGAUUAUAUCCAGCCUGUGUGUGGACAUUAGCAACGCCAGAUCUUUCCUUCUUGGAAGUCAGUGCUGGGUGGCAGGCUGGGGUAAGGGAAGCAAAAGCACAGGAGGAUCAGGGUGGCCCUCUGCCAUGCAAGUCAGGUUCAUCUUGGUUCCAGGUGGCCGUUGUAUCUACUGGUGGAAGCAAAUCUCUCCAUGCAGACAUUCAGAUCUUUGCCAAAACUUCAAGAUUUGGGUCAUUCUUAAAGGAGACAGUGGGCUACAUGUAUGGCCAUCUCCUGCUGCCACAGGAGCAGCAGAUUUCUCUGUGUCCUCGUUCCUGUCCUUCUUUGUCCCCAUUACAUCCAUGUUCCUGUUUUAAGCUUUUAAGUCUGUUGUCAGGGGGACUAGAAAGAAGUAGUUAAUUCUUGCACUUAAAAGUCAACUGACCGCUCUCAAUUAGCCUAAUUUAUAUUCUGUAAAUGCUCUUACAGUAACUCAGGUCAAGCAGAAGAAAAUGUUGCAUUAUAAGGCACUUCCAAAAGGCUUAUCAUUUUUAUAACAAUGAAAGAUUUUCUGUAAUAUCAUGGACUAUUUUAAAAUCCAAUGUCUGUUUCUAAAUGUUUCACUGAAUCUGGCUAAAUGAAGGUCAACCUUUGUUAAUUAUUCUCUACUCAUUUAUACGUCCAUUGUCUUUCUACUUAAAAAUGUCAUGAUGAACUUUGUAUGAGGUUACUUUUCAAGAAAUCUGUCAUUUUAAUCACAUAUGAAAUAAACAUUCAU
Long non-coding RNA from Scomber scombrus (Atlantic mackerel), 1873 nucleotides. RefSeq lists it as uncharacterized. Lineage: Eukaryota; Metazoa; Chordata; Actinopteri; Scombriformes; Scombridae. The transcript has 3 exons. The record is from RefSeq and is a predicted model, not a curated record.